GAUGAACGCUGGCGGCGUGCCUAAUACAUGCAAGUCGAGCGGACGGACGAGAAGCUUGCUUCGUUGAUGUUAGCGGCGGACGGGAGUGUAACACGUGUAUAACCCACCUAUAAGACUGGUAUAAUUUCGGAAAACCGGAUCUUAUACCGUAUGAUAUUCUGAUCCGUAUGGUUCAUAGGUGAAAUACGGUGUUGCUGGCUCUUAUAGAUGCAUCUGCGCUGCUUUGGCUAGUUGGUAAGGUAAAGGGUUACCAAGGCAAGGAUUCGUAGCCGACGUGAGCGGGUGAUCGCCCACACGGGAACUGAGACACGGUCAAGGAUCCUACGGGAGGCAGCAGUAGGGAACGUUAGGCAAUGGGGGAAAGCCUGACGGAGCAAGGCGGCGUGAGUGAUGAAGGUCUUCGGAUCGUAAAACUCUGUUAUUGGGGAAGAACAUAUGUGUAAGUAAAUGUGGACAGCUUGACGGUACCUAAUCAGAAAGCCACGGCUAACUACGUG
RNAcentral lists this ribosomal RNA (497 nucleotides) under uncultured bacterium. RNAcentral describes it as "partial 16S ribosomal RNA". It matches the Rfam family "Bacterial small subunit ribosomal RNA", at positions 28 to 507 of the family's 1533-position model. The record is from RNAcentral.